GUGGGGAAUAUUGGACAAUGGGCGAAAGCCUGAUCCAGCCAUGCCGCGUGUGUGAAGAAGGUCUUCGGAUUGUAAAGCACUUUAAGUUGGGAGGAAGGGCAGUAAGUUAAUACCUUGCUGUUUUGACGUUACCGACAGAAUAAGCACCGGCUAACUUCGUGCCAGCAGCCGCGGUAAUACGAAGGGUGCAAGCGUUAAUCGGAAUUACUGGGCGUAAAGCGCGAGUAGGUGGUUUUGUAAGUUGGAGGUGAAAUCACCGGGCUCAACCUGGGAACUGCCUCCAAAACUGCAUGACUAGAGUACGGUAGAGGGUAGUGGAAUUUCCUGUGUAGCGGUGAAAUGCGUAGAUAUAGGAAGGAACACCAGUGGCGAAGGCGACUACCUGGACUGAUACUGACACUGAGGUGCGAAAGCGUGGGGAGCAAACAGGAUUAGAUACCCCAGUAGUCC
RNAcentral lists this ribosomal RNA (450 nucleotides) under uncultured bacterium. RNAcentral describes it as "partial 16S ribosomal RNA". It matches the Rfam family "Bacterial small subunit ribosomal RNA", at positions 354 to 796 of the family's 1533-position model. The record is from RNAcentral.